GACACAAGAAGAGAGAGAACACAAAUAGCUGUGAUGAACCACAUACCAGAGCAGCAAAGCAGAAUAUCGACGGAAAUGCACAAGCAAACAUCAUGAUCAUCCCAAACUGAAGAGUUAGCUCAAGAAAAUCUGUGAUGGACUCAACAAUGUAAGAACAUAACACAGACAUCCAAAAGAACUGAGAAUAGACAGGAUGAUUAUUUAUUGCUGUUACCAUCAAAUAAACCAUCUUCAAGUUCUUCUCCAAUGCUUGCAGUAUACGAGGGUUUUAGAUAUUCUUUCUCUACUCUUGUAGAUAACCGAACUGACUUCCCAGCUGGCGAUUCUUUCUCAUGUUUUUUCUUGCUACAAGAUGGAAGAGAUUUCUUACAUCUCUGAAUUGGUCUGGAAAAAGAAUAGUAGGACAAACAGAUUUGGCUGCAGAACUUACUGAACAGCUCUAUACUUUUUAUAGCUAUAAUUGAGGUAAGGAAUGGAAUUCUCAAUCAGAUUUUCCAAUACCUGCAAGUUAAUAUGUAUCAUCAAAGGAAGACUAGCAUUUAUGAUUAUAACUAAUGAUGGAAUAAUUACAAUGCAGACAUGCCUGGGACACAAUGAGACGCUUGAUUAGGACUUGCCGGAGUGCCAUAAUGUUGCGGUGCAGUGAAGCAUGGUAAAACAAUCCAAUAUAUGAUUGCAUAAAGUAAAGACCAAAGACCUGCAUUUGCCAAAAGAGUAAGAAACCUAACAUAAAGCGUGAACCAUAUUCUUGGCAUCAUUGUGUUUACCUUAUAAACCAAACUAUCAGCACUAGACUGUUCCCCUUGGUUGUUUUCAUACUUUAUUAGAGUGACAGACACCUUGCCACCUAUCCUUGUGUAAUACUGAAUUGCAGCAAGAUACACUGCAGUUAACACAUACCUGCAUAAACAUCAGCAAUAAGAACUGAUGCUUCAUAUUUUAGUGGUAACCAUAAACAACAAAAUAAAACAUAAGGAAUAGAUAUAAAACAAUUAGGAGAAAAUAAGCUUCAGGUCAAUUGCACAUCGUUGAUAACUCAAGAAUCAUGAAUAGAUCAUAGUGAUAUUCCUACAAUCUUACCUUAGCGCCUCAGUUUUUGUAAUCGCAUAUAGAUGAGCAUAGGCCAACUCAAAUGGCAGCUGAAGACAAAUGAUAGCCAAAACAAUGAUAGCAUUAUUCCUAAUUCUAAGGAGAACACCAAACCACUCAUUUCUUUGUACUAUACUUUUCUCCUUGGGAGCACCAAAUUUCCUCUGCUGAACAUUGUCAUCAGCCAUAGAAAAGCUUAAAGGGUCCAGUUCAUUGCCCAUAGUUUUGUAUUCCGAAAAUGAAUAAUUUAUACCCCAUCUGUUGAAAACAUCACAUAAAAGAAAGGCAUGUUUGUGAGCACGGUCUUGAAUAUGUUUCAAAGGAACUUAAUUGACUUAGAUAUAUACAGAUUGCAUAGAAAAUUGCAUGCUACCUAGCAAGGACAGCUGAAUUCUUCCGUUUCCAAAAUUGCAAAAAGAAGACAGCCCAAGAAAUAACGAAGAAAAAGAAAGCUGGAAGAACCAACCACUGUAAUGACCUGAAUUCAGACAGCAGAGAAAAACAUUUAGCUGACGACAACAAUAAAAUCCCAAUGAUAUUUUCUAGAUGAGAGGUGCAUACCCAAAAUCUAUCAGCUGGGUUGCAAGUCCAAAAACAGCUGGAAAGAACAGCCAACGUGUAUACAUUCCGAGGAAAGAAAAAUAUAUUGCAAUCUGCAAUUCCAGAAUUAAAUUUUAUGGAGUAGAAUAAGGUGAUACUUGAUUUGCUUCAGAUAGAAUAGUUCAUAAAUUAAAUAUGGUAGGUGUAACAUGUGCAAUCACGCUGGUCUACCUUUGUUCCAAAGUAAGAGUAAAUUUCAUCAAUAGGUUGCCAUGUGAAAUCAAACCACUUGAGUGCCCAGCUUCUCAGGAGUUGCUUCCUUUUAAUUUCAUCUGCAGCAAAACAGUUGGUUAUCUAAUACUAAGAAUUUCAAAAAUAAUUCAGGUUGGUUUACCAUGCAAAGGGAAGACUAGCUUUACGAUUCCUUCAUCUUCCAGCCUGGUUAAGAGUGACUCAUUUUGAGUCCAGUGGAACUCUUUAUCGUCAAAGCUGAGAGUUAUAUCAGAAUCGGUCUUGUUCACCUGCAAGUCUCCAUAUCUACCUACUGUCAAAUAAGGAAAUAUGAAGCACAACAAGACUAAUCACUUUGUACAUUAGCUAUAUGUUUUAUUCAUAUCUCAUGUCAAGCGAAAAGAAAAACUUUGAGACUUGAGAGAAUAACCAUAGUAUAAGCAGAAAUAUACUAAACCACUUUCCUAUUUGCACUUGGCUUGUUUCUUAAAUGCAAAUAUAAUAGACAGGUCAUCUGAUGCAUAAUGAACUAUACUUAAAUCUUUGAAUCAGCAGUGCUGCAAAAAAAAAAUCAAUUUUGCAAAAGCCAGGCAGGACAUACAUGCCAUCCGUGAAAUACCGGUACUAACAACGAAGCAGUGCUGGUCUAGAAAAAUGCCAACUUAGUGUGGAAUCUCCAAACAUAAAUAACUAUAACUACAAUGUGCCGAAGUGGGUAACAGGAACAAAAGCAACUACAAUGGGAGACAACUGUGCA
This 2617-nucleotide long non-coding RNA is filed under the name Oryza sativa (Asian cultivated rice). Its description in RNAcentral is "long non-coding RNA (OSAT_LNC001308)". The record is from RNAcentral. Lineage: Eukaryota; Viridiplantae; Streptophyta; Magnoliopsida; Poales; Poaceae.